Molecule: long non-coding RNA, 409 nt
Organism: Xenia sp. Carnegie-2017
Lineage: Eukaryota; Metazoa; Cnidaria; Anthozoa; Malacalcyonacea; Xeniidae
Exons: 3
Source: RefSeq, a predicted model, not a curated record
GCAGAGUACAUGUGAGGGAUAAAUAAGACUUAUAAUAAAAUCAUAACACAUUUUUAUUGGCCAGGACUAAGGAAGGAUGUUGCAGAGUUUUGUAAAACUUGCCAUGUCUGUCAAGUAGUGGGUAAACCAAAUCAAACUAUUCCAAAAGCACCUUUACAGCCAAUUCCAGCAUUUGAAGAACCGUUCAGUCGAGUUCUCAUUGAUUGCGUAGGACCACUACCAAAAACCAAAAAGGGAAACGAAUAUCUAUUAACUAUUAUGUGCGCUUCAACUAGAUUUCCAGAAGCGAUUCCUUUGCGAAAUAUUCGAGCUAAAACUAUCGUACAAGCUUUGACCAAAUUUUUUACGCUUGUUGGACUUCCAAAAUCAAUUCAGUCAGAUCAAGGCUCAAAUUUCAUGUCUGGCUUAU